This 1782-nucleotide ribosomal RNA is filed under the name Triticum aestivum (bread wheat). RNAcentral's name for it is "partial small subunit ribosomal RNA". The record is from RNAcentral. Lineage: Eukaryota; Viridiplantae; Streptophyta; Magnoliopsida; Poales; Poaceae.
AUGGGUUUGAUUUUCCGGGUACUACUAGUCUUUCUUGUGGUGCUCGCCGCACUCGCCACCAUCUCCAACGCCCAUGGUGACGGUACACUCACUCUCCGAUGCCAUCCGGAUGAGGCUGCAAGCCUCCUCCAACUGAAGAAAUCCUUCUCUUUCUUCCGUUACCCCAGUGGCCUUGAGUCAUGGCAAGAUGGUACCGACUGUUGUCUUUGGGAAGGCGUUGGCUGCAGCAAUUCCUUCGGCCAUGUCACUGCUUUGGAGCUCGGUGGUUGUGGCCUCUAUAGUCAGGGCCUUGACCCUGCAAUCUUCAAGCUCACCUCGCUCCAAUUACUCGACCUUAGCAUGAAUAAUUUUGGCAUGCACAUUCUCCCGGCAAGCGGGUUUGAGAGGCUCUCCUUGCUGACUCACCUCAACCUCUCCAAUUCGAGAUUCCAAGGCAAGAUACCCAUUGGCAUCAGCAAACUUGUCAACCUUAUCUCCUUGGAUCUUUCUGUUUCCUAUUAUGACACUACUGAAGAUUCACUUAGUGACUAUGAUAGCAGCAUCGCUAUCAUUUCUUAUGUGUUCUGGCUGCCCAACUUUCAAAACCUAGUGGCCAACCUCAAAAAUUUGAGAGAGCUCUACCUUGAUGGAGUGGAUAUGUCUAGCAGUGGAGACUGGUGUCAUGCUCUUGCAGAAUCUCUUCCAGAUCUCCGAGUUCUUAGCUUAAGUUCUUGUUUUCUCGGCGGUCCUAUCUGUUGGUCCCUCUCAAGACUCCACUCUCUAACUGCAAUAAACUUGGAAGAUAACUUUGAUAUACUGGCUACUUUUCCAGAGUUUUUCAUGGAUUUUUCCAAUUUAAGUGUGCUCCAACUUGCUCGGACAAAUCUCCAAGGGUGGUUCCCUCGUAGAGCUUUUGAAUCAAAAACUCUGCGAGUUCUUGAUUUAUCCGGGAAUCAGGAUCUCUUAGGGCAUGUGCCCAACUUCUCCAAUGCAAGUUCCUUAGAGACAAUGAUGCUAGACGGGACCAAUUUAUCCUUUGCAAAACCAGGAUCGUUUAGCAAUUUCAAGUCUUUGAAAAGGUUAAGUUUUGAUGUGAUUUUUUUCUCAGUGGAUCCUCCAUCUUCACUCGAUAUCCUUGGGUCUCUACGGCAAUUGCAAGUCUCCCAGGUGGACUCGGCAGUAGAUGUAGGGGCAAUUUUCUCAUGGAUGUCAGACCUGCAGAAUUUGCAAAGCUUAAAACUCUCCUGGUGCAACUUCUCCCAGACAUCUUUUUCUUCAGUUGCCAAACUCAAGAGCUUAAGAAGCCUGACAAUUUCUGACUGCAGCUUAACUAGACCAGUGCUAUCAACAUUAGGUUAUCUAGUAGAUUUGAGAAGCCUGGAGAUCUUUAAUUGCAUAUUUAGUGGUUCAAUACCGUCUGCAGUUGGCAACCUCACAAACUUGAGAGUCUUGAAAAUCAAUGGAUGCGACUUUUCAGGGCCGAUACCAUCUUCAAUUGGUAAUCUCAUGAACCUGAGAAGCUUGGAAAUAAAUGGUGCUUAUGGCUCUUUCGACAGCCAUGCUGGCUCUUCUGUGGCAAUACCAUCUUCAGUUGGCAACCUCAGUAACUUGGUAAGCUUGGAAAUCUGGUAUUGCUUUUUCUCUGGGCAAAUACCAGAUGCAGUUGGACUACUCAAGAAGUUGGCAGUUCUUCGACUUGGACAGUGUGGCUUUUCUGGACGCAUACCAAAUUCAAUUGUUAACUUGACUCAACUAAUUGAUCUAGAUCUUUCAUCUAAUGUUCUCAACGGUAAGAUUGUAUAG